This 442-nucleotide ribosomal RNA is filed under the name uncultured bacterium. RNAcentral describes it as "partial 16S ribosomal RNA". It matches the Rfam family "Bacterial small subunit ribosomal RNA", at positions 338 to 795 of the family's 1533-position model. The record is from RNAcentral.
CCUACGGGGGGCAGCAGUGGGGGAUAUUGCACAAUGGGGGAAACCCUGAUUCAGCGACGCCGCGUGUGCGAAGAAGUAUUUCGGUAUGUGAAGCCCUAUCAGCAGGGAAGAAGAAAUGACGGUACCUGAGUAAGAAGCACCGGCUAAAUACGUGCCAGCAGCCGCGGUAAUACGUAUGGUGCAAGCGUUAUCCGGAUUUACUGGGUGUAAAGGGAGCGCAGGCGGCACGGCAAGCCUGAUGUGAAAGCCCGGGGCCCAACCCGGGGACUGCAUUGGGAACUACCGGGCUGGAGUGCCGGAGAGGUAGGCGGAAGUCCUAGUGGAGCGGUGAAAUGCGUAGAUAGUAGGAGGAACACCAGUGGCGAAGGCGGCUUACUGGACGGUGACUGACGCUGAGGCUCGAAAGCGUGGGGAGCAAACAGGAUUAGAUACCCUUGUAGUC